GGAUCAUCACACUUUGGACGCUCAAGUGAUGCUGUACUGCUAAGGAAGUAACAUCGUAAGGUGUUCGUGGGUUCGAAUCCCACCCUCUCCG
Molecule: transfer RNA, 91 nt
Filed under: Fidelibacterota bacterium
Lineage: Bacteria; Pseudomonadati; Fidelibacterota
Description: tRNA-OTHER
Source: RNAcentral